Molecule: transfer RNA, 69 nt
Filed under: Aptinothrips stylifer
Lineage: Eukaryota; Metazoa; Arthropoda; Insecta; Thysanoptera; Thripidae
Description: tRNA-Pro
Source: RNAcentral
CAGAAAAUAAUUUAAUUAAAAUAAUAAGUUUGGAUCUUAUUUAUAAAGAUAAAAUUUCUUUUUUUCUGA